This 425-nucleotide ribosomal RNA is filed under the name uncultured bacterium. Its description in RNAcentral is "partial 16S ribosomal RNA". It matches the Rfam family "Bacterial small subunit ribosomal RNA", at positions 354 to 796 of the family's 1533-position model. The record is from RNAcentral.
GUGGGGAAUAUUGGGCAAUGGGGGAAACCCUGACCCAGCAACGCCGCGUGAAGGAAGAAGGUCUUCGGAUCGUAAACUUCUAUCCUUGGUGAAGAUAAUGACGGUAGCCGAGAAGGAAGCCCCGGCUAACUACGUGCCAGCAGCCGCGGUAAUACGUAGGGGGCAAGCGUUGUCCGGAAUGAUUGGGCGUAAAGGGCGCGUAGGCGGCCUGGUAAGUCUGGAGUGAAAGUCCUGCUUUUAAGGUAGGAAUUGCUUUGGAUACUGUCGGGCUUGAGUGCAGGAGAGGUAAGUGGAAUUCCCGGUGUAGCGGUGAAAUGCGUAGAGAUCGGGAGGAACACCAGUGGCGAAGGCGACUUACUGGACUGUAACUGACGCUGAGGCGCGAAAGUGUGGGGAGCAAACAGGAUUAGAAACCCGAGUAGUCC